Penicillium camemberti is the source of this 81-nucleotide non-coding RNA. The record is from Rfam. Lineage: Eukaryota; Fungi; Ascomycota; Eurotiomycetes; Eurotiales; Aspergillaceae.
UUCGAUAUGGGGUAGUGGUUAACCUAGCGGAUUUUCAUUAUAUGACCUCCGCGGCCCCGGGUUCGAUUCCCGGUAUCGAAG